Molecule: long non-coding RNA, 1333 nt
Filed under: Capra hircus (goat)
Lineage: Eukaryota; Metazoa; Chordata; Mammalia; Artiodactyla; Bovidae
Description: lncRNA (ENSCHIG00010003125.1)
Source: RNAcentral
CAGCAGGCUAUUGACUCUGGGCACCGAAACAGAAACUUAGGCACAAGAGAACUCUAUCAAGAUUAACUUAGCUAAUUUAGCAGAAACAAAGCUAAAAUAUAAAUCUGUUCAGAGCGAGAUGCCAGUGAGAAAUAAAUCAACUCUUGGGUUAAAGACAAGAUACAAAACUGAUUAUAUGGUAUGAUCACAAGGUUGGUUGACAUGCAUGCUCCCACACACAUAGGUAUGAGCACACAUACAAACUCACAUAGCUCAUAAACAUUCUUACUCACAUACAUGCAGACACAAUGCUGAAACAAACACAUCAGAAUGUAAACUCUGGUCACUUUUUCUGAGUGAUUGGAUUAUGAGGGAUUUUAUUUUGUUUCUACUUUAUUUUUCCAUUUUCCUUGCCAAACUUUCUCAUUCGAUCUCAUCAAACACAGCUCAGCUACCAGAGAACCCUAAUCCUUGUGCAGCCCGGUCCAGCCAGGUCCUCAGCUGUCCAACUCUCCAUCUUACUCCCUGGGCCCUGAAGCCUUUUGUUGCAUCUCUUGUUUAUUCUUCAUUCCCAGGUCCAAGUUCACAGGGUUAGACUGUUCUUUACCUUACACUCCAGAGAAUAAUUUCCAUUGUCUGGAACUCAGGCAGUUUUAAAACAUUGUCACAAAGCUCUUUGACAGUAAUCCUGUUGAGUGGUGGGGUCUAUGUCCUUUCCACUUGACUCCAGGCAGUCUUGUGAUGGACUGUUUCAACCAAUCCAAUGUGGUGGGAGUGAUACUGCAUGAUUUGUGAAACUGUGCCAUGAAAGAUAUUGCAGCUUCUAAGUUGUUUAAUGGAAUCCUUGCCCUGAGUCCCUGUGCCAAGCCUGACCACCUGCCAUGUUGUGAGAGCCUCAGACCCAUGGAAACACCAUGCAUAGGUGCUAAGCCCAGCAAUGAGAGUAAAUGAGCCCUUAGCUGAUUCCAGCUCUGUAGGGUUCCUCCCAGUCUUCAGAUCUUUCCAGCUGGGGUCCAGACAUGGAGAAGCAGAGUCAAGCUGUUUAUACUGUGCCCUGUCUGAAUUCUUGACAGGAGAAUCUUUGAGCUUAAUGAAAUGGCUGUUUUAAAGUGCCCUGCCAAAUUUGAGGGUGAUCUGUUACACAGCAAUAGCAGCUAAAACAGGAAACUUGGACCCAGUUUGAGUCAGAUUUCUGACAAAGAGCUGAAAUCAGGUUUUUUUGUUUGUUUUUUAUGGCUCAGGAGCCAAACACAAGCAUUUUCCUCAGGUUGAUAUAAUGCUUUUCCCAAGUGAUUCAUCAAACCAAGGCGCCUGAAUGAGAAACUCUGCUUCCUAUUAUACAGAUGCCCAAGGA